Molecule: ribosomal RNA, 432 nt
Filed under: uncultured bacterium
Lineage: Bacteria
Description: partial 16S ribosomal RNA
Rfam family: Bacterial small subunit ribosomal RNA
Source: RNAcentral
AACGAACGCUGGCGGCAGGCUUAACACAUGCAAGUCGAACGCACCUUUCGGGGUGAGUGGCAGACGGGUGAGUAACGCGUGGGAAUCUACCCUUCUCUACGGGAUAGCUCCGGGAAACUGGAAUUAAUACCGUAUACGUCCUGAGGGAGAAAGAUUUAUCGGGGAAGGAUGAGCCCGCGUUGGAUUAGCUAGUUGGUGGGGUAAAGGCCUACCAAGGCGACGAUCCAUAGCUGGUCUAAGAGGAUGAUCAGCCACAUUGGGACUGAGACACGGCCCAAACCCCGGGGGGGGGAAGGGGGGGGGAAUAUGGGAAACGGGGCGGAGGCCGGACCCAGCCAGGCCGGGGGGGGGAUGAAGGCCCUAGGGUUGAAAAGCCUUUUCCGGGGGGCCGAUAAUGGCGGUACCCACAGAAGAAGCCCCGGCUAGCUUCGU